GAGGUUGUGGCUCAGUGGUAGAGUGCUCGCCAACACAUGUGAGGCCCUGGGUUUGAUCCUCAGCACCACA
This 70-nucleotide transfer RNA is filed under the name Marmota monax (woodchuck). Its description in RNAcentral is "tRNA.Undet". Lineage: Eukaryota; Metazoa; Chordata; Mammalia; Rodentia; Sciuridae. The record is from RNAcentral.